Molecule: long non-coding RNA, 3253 nt
Organism: Sus scrofa (pig)
Lineage: Eukaryota; Metazoa; Chordata; Mammalia; Artiodactyla; Suidae
Source: RefSeq, a predicted model, not a curated record
AGCCCAUAAAAGCACACGUCCCCGCCUAGGCAGCCACUGGACACCUGCAUCUGCGGGCAAGACUGAAAACAGGUGAGACAGAGAGGAAGGGCCAAAGCCGUGUGGGGGAGGGGUGGUCUGAGGCACCCGCGUCCCCUCGGAUGGGGCUGGUUUGCAGGUCAGCGCAUGGACAUUUUCCCAGAAAGCGACACAGACUAUGAAGUUUGAUGGUCUGGAAAACGGAGACCAACCGCGCUGACUACCUGGAAGCACUGAGACUCCGGACAGCGCCUCUCAGGGUCCAGGAAAGGCACCGCGAUCUGCUUCAGCACCAGGGCUCCGGACAGCUCCUAAGGCUCCCAGGGGGCGACCUCAUUUCAGAACCAGGACACUGGACAGCUUCACUGCUACAGGGAAGCCCUUGUACCCAGAUGGGGGAACAGAGUGCUCUGAAGUGCCUGACGCUUUGGGAGACUUGCCCCUCGUGUAGUGGAUUUUUCAGUGAAUUAUUUUCCAGAUAAGCAGAUGAGAAGAAACCACCCACAGAAAUCCGUAAUUCCUAACAGGUUUGGAAAUACAAAUAUCUGACUCUGAACCCAGGACUCUUAACUGUCUCACUACACUUUCCUGGGAGAUCAAUGAGAAAAUCAUGUUUGAAGCCCUUCCUUGAUCAGGAUUCUAUGGAGACUUUUCAAUAAAAGUUCUGGGGAAUUUUUUACUCCCCUACCUCACCAUCAGUUUCAUGAACCAAUUACAGGACACGUGUAAACUUGUGUCUGGUAGGUGUGUUGUGACAUCAUGGAGGCUCAAACUUAAUUCUCUAUGACAUCCUAAUCAAGUCGAAGACAUGACAUCCAGCUCAUUCCAGCCUCAGAACAGCCUUUUGCCUUUGCUGUUUCCUCAGUUUGGAAUGCUCUGUCCCCACCCAGAGUGCCCCAGGCCUCAUUCUGCCCCUCACCCAAGCCUUGUUUCAUCAAGGGGAACUGUCUUUGUUGCCUCGCCAUUCCCCAUGUCACGCCUACACUCUACAUUCUCCUAGAAUAUUUUCUACUCCACACUGAGUGUAAUUAUUUUUGUGUUAUGUAUUUACAGAACUGUCUGUCUCCCCCAUUACACUGUGCACUACAUGAAGGCAGAGACUGUAUUUGUAUCUUCACUGCUGUGUCCCCAGCACCUAAUCCAGGACCUGGUAUACAGCAGGUGCUCAAUAAACAUUUGUUGCCUCAAUAAAAGCACUAGGGAAUAAACUAAUACAUCAAUCAAUAAGUGAACUGAUGGUUUUGGCACACACAUGAAGACCUUGCUGCUUCUUGGUCUCCCCCACAGAGAUACCAUAGGGGGAUGGUUGCUGCAGGUGUUUAUUGGGGAGCAUAAUUAAAUUUGUGGACACUCAAGGGCCAGCCAACCAACUAACAGCCCCAGGAGAGAGCCAGGCUCGUUUAAUUAGCAAUUACGAGGCAUUGAUUCUUCAUUAGCUCUGGCAAACCCCAUCUCCCUCCUCAGUCCCAGACAAAUGAAAUCCUUCCCCCUCCCAGGAGUACUGCCUCAGUGGGUCCAUUAACAAGCAGAGCAAAUAUGAUUACAAGACACCUAAAUGCCAGAGGCUCUUCAUGAAUCGGGAGAAGAGAGUUCAAUGUCUGGGUUAAGGCUAAUUGUGAGAGACUUUCUGGUAUAUUUAGAAUUGUUCUCUGGGAAUGGGACAGCUUUCAGAUAGGAAAAGCACCCAGAUACUGCACUUUAGGGACGUCAAUUAAAAAAAAAGAGCUUCUGUCCUGGUAUUUCUCUGAAUAUUUCUCCCUGGGUGUCUCCCUAUCCCUCCAAAUUAAUCAUUUCAAGCUGAACACUCACUCCAGCCAGCCCCCAACUUGCCCCUCCCUGCAUGCCCCCAUCAUGUGACAGGCUCUCCACAUCCCAGAGAUCCUCCCCCUGCUCAUCUACUUCCUGUAUUCCCCAAGGCAAGUCAUUCUCAUCAGAUCUGUCCUCGUCUCCAGCUCCCUACCUCUAUCACUGCCUGAUCACCUCAUGGUCUCUUCCCUCAAAACACGCACACAGGCAACUCAUUCUCCACAUACAGGGGGUCUUUCUAGAACACAUAUCUGGUCAAGUCCCACCUCUUCCUUCAACCCUUCUAAGACUCCCAUUGCCUGUGGGAUAGAAUUCAAAUAUCCUCACACAACUUGCAUGAUCUGGCCCCUCCCUGCUAAGAGCAAUUACCUAUCAUUUUCCUGCCAGCUAUACUCAACAAUUAGCCCACACAAGACCACCUCUUGCUUGACUUCUCUGACUUCUAUAUGAUUCCCCUAGGAAUGCAUAGAGAAUGAAGAUUCCCAGGACCCUCUGACUUUUAAUAAGCCAGAGGUGGGGCAGGUCCAGGAAUCUGCGUUUUGACCAGCAUCUUCAGUGACUGUUAUUUAGGGGAAUUUUUCUUUUGCUUUAAAAAAAAUACCCGGAGUUCUCUUGUGGUGCAGUGCAUUAAGGAUCCAGCAUUGUCACUGAAAUGGAUGGGGUCACUGCUGUGGCGUGGGUUAAAUCCUGGAUCCAGGACUUUGACAUGCCACAGGUACGGCCAAAAACAAAACAAAACAAAACAAAAACAAAAACAAAAAACCUCACCAACCUUUUACUUCUCCCAAAAACCACUGAAAGGAAGAGAAGCUCAGUUAAUCCUACCGGUUUCAUCUUUGCACUCUGCUAUACCCAGCUCAGUGCCAGCACCUAAUAAAUAUUCAGUUGAGAUACAAAUGCUAAUGUCUGAAUCUCUGUCACCUUCAUCAGACACAGAAACAUGGAGGCCACGUGUACCUGUAAUGAUGAGCCAUUACCCACAGAGGUGCUGUGGACAUCUGAACUGACGGUACAACCCAAUGAGCUAUUUUAUUAUAUUUGGUCAGUGUCCAUUUAUAUUAAUUUGGGAAUAUAUGAAAGCAGGGUCUGAGACAAGUUUGCUUUACUUGGAAAGCAGAAGUGAAGAAAACAAUGAGCACGGCAAAGGAAGGAACACCAAUAUAUGAGGAUGUAGUGGAGUUACUCUAACAGACUCAAAAUAACAGUGGCUUAAACAAAAUGAAAGUUUAUUUUCUCCCCUUUGACUUGACAACUCUAUGCCUAGAUCUACAUAGGGGAGGCUAUUUCCACAGAAUGAAUUUCACUAAAACAGUCACAAUGGCUUUGUUGAUAAUAGCCAAAAACUAACUGGCAAAUGGAUAAACAAACUGUGGUAUAUCCACACCAUGGGAUACGUCUUAGGAGAAAAAAACAAAAACAAAAACAACAA